Molecule: ribosomal RNA, 301 nt
Filed under: uncultured bacterium
Lineage: Bacteria
Description: bacterial SSU rRNA
Rfam family: Bacterial small subunit ribosomal RNA
Source: RNAcentral
GAUGAACGCUGGCGGCGUGCCUAAUACAUGCAAGUCGAGCGGUAACAGAACUAGCUUGCUAGUUGCUGACGAGCGGCGGACGGCUGAGUAACGCGUGGGAACGGACCCCAAACUGAGGGAUAACUACUCGAAAGAGUUGCUAAUACCGCAUGUGAUCUUCGGAUUAAAGGAUUUAUCCGGUUUGGGACUGGCCUGCGUACGAUUAGAUAGUUGGUGAGGUAAUGGCUUACCAAGUCGACGAUCGUUAGAUGGUUUGAGAGGAUGAUCAUCCAGACUGGGACUGAGACACGGCCCAGACUCC